Molecule: ribosomal RNA, 250 nt
Filed under: uncultured bacterium
Lineage: Bacteria
Description: partial 16S ribosomal RNA
Rfam family: Bacterial small subunit ribosomal RNA
Source: RNAcentral
UACGAAGGGGGCUAGCGUUGUUCGGAAUUACUGGGCGUAAGGGGCGCGUAGGCGGUGUGUCAAGUCAGGCGUGAAAGCCCCGGGCUCAACCUGGGAACCGCGCUUGAGACUGGCACGCUAGAGUUCGGGAGAGGAUGGUGGAAUUCCCAGGUGUAGAGGUGAAAUUCGUAGAUAAUUGGGAAGAACACCGAUGGCGAAGGCGAGCCAUCUGGACCGACACUGACGCUGAGGCGCGAAAGCGUGGGGAGCG